RNAcentral lists this long non-coding RNA (1330 nucleotides) under Anser brachyrhynchus (Pink-footed goose). RNAcentral describes it as "lncRNA (ENSABRG00000021191.1)". The record is from RNAcentral. Lineage: Eukaryota; Metazoa; Chordata; Aves; Anseriformes; Anatidae.
UNAGGAAAGAAUUUAACUUGUAAUCUGACUUUCUUCACAAAUUAUAUUCAGGCACACACACAAGAAUAGGGUGACCAAGUGGUGAGCUGUGUUGCCAACCACAAACAAACUGAAGAGGAAUGGAAAUGGAUUCAACUAUUUCAACAGAUGGCCGGGAGCCAUGGACUGGAACAUCCAAAGAAUCGAUGCACGGCAGCAGCAUUGCAGGGGGUUUUAGCACAGAACUGCACCCCUGAGAUCCUAUGCAGAAGAUGCUGUAGAAACCAUUCCCUGCAAGGAAGGAGGAACCUGCAAUGUAUUUUAUGCUUCCAUGUUUAUUGUGUAUCUUAAAGAUUUCAUGUCUCAGUGCUGUCAAGGUUAAGCCUGUACAAAUGGCAGGAAGGACCUGAGGACCCUAAAGUAAUGGGAGAUUUUGAAACCAGUGACAGAACCUUAAGAAAAUGGAUUAGAGUGAAAGCACAAAUACUGCUGUGAAGAGCUUCUGCCCUGAAAUGGAGCAUUAUUCUCCGCUUGCAAAUAUACUUGCUGCUGAAGAAAACAAGCUUUUAUUCACAUUAUUUGUUUUGAGGUUUACAAAUGUUUUAGCUGGAGUUCCCUGUAGUAAAAGUUUGAUCUCUUUGGUGCUAUUAUGUUUCCAGAAUCAAGUCUAAUAAUAUUGUGCAACUCACAGAUAGGAAAUUUACUUUUAACAUAAUUCUGAAUAAUUCUCAUUCUUACUAUUGAAGUAAGAAUCAGUAACCCAUUGUACUGAAUACUUGGGGGAAAAACUCUUACAGUUGUGUAAAUCCUAAGAGGAGGACAAUAUCUUUACACCGUAAAUCUAACCACCGAUGUUAACUCUGUAUCCAGCACCUAACAUGCAAUCACAUCAGCUUUUUGCAGGUGGAUGAAAAUGAGAAAUGCAAGUUCUCGGCAGGCUCACAGAUGCAGCCUUCAUGUUAUCUAACCUGCAGGCAGCACCGGUUACUGGAGGAGUUAAUGUGCAGUUCCAGUAACUGCCAAGCGAGCCCAUAUAAUCAAGGAGACCAUUUAACAUGUUAAAAGUCAGGAACAUUCCACGCCAAAGUGCUGCCUCUCAUUUAUCCCCAAAGAAAUCCUCCUAAUAGCUUCUAAUAGCAAUGUUUAAAAGACUUCUCGUUUGAGCACAUUGUAACACGCCUUUGUUCUUUCCCUCCCUUUGCAAAGCCCACUACUGAGAGACCAAAGCUAUAAUUUCCUCAGCUUCUAAGUGCUCCGUAGGUUUCGCUGACCUUUAGAAAACACAUUCUUCUCCUUCCCCAUCUCCUUUAAAGCAGCUGCUUUUUCACAGCACGCCCUGUGGUCCAGGCCC